AGCAGCCCUGGGAUGACCUUCCCAGUCUCUUAAAAAAGUGUCUUGUAAAAAGUUAACCUUUUUCAUUAAAUAUAUGAAAGACCAUCUCAUGACCUCCUGCAAUAAUAUUAGGGAGAAGCAGGCCCAGAUGUCUCCCUGAGAUUUCUCUGCAGAGUCUUAUUCAGAAAAUCUCUCAUGAGAAACUUCUGGGCGAGCAGCUAGAAGCAACAACAUUGGACUUCGCAGCAGAAGAGGAGGCCUACAGGAGCCCAAGGGACAGCAUCAUGCAUGAGCUGGAAGAUGCAACUUGCAAAUUCUGGGGAAGGUUACAGAGAGAACAAAAAAAAAAAAUGGGUUGACUUUGGUGACCAAUCACACAGUCCAGCUAGUGAGCAAGCAAUAACAGAGGCACAGUAUUCACAAAAAUCUGGGAGAGAUUUCCUGUGGCCAAUUCUGGAGAGUUCCCAGAGGAUCUGACUAAAACAGAGAACAGCUCCUCCUGGAAAAUGUAGUAUCCAGAGCAGCACUGGCAGUCAUUUCUUGGUGUAUCUCAGACUGGGAUUGAAUAGAGCUCCAACAGUACUCCAUAGGAGAACAGAAGUCACCCACCAGCCCUCUAGAAAGGCAGAGAAUGCCUCACCAACCUAUUCCUGAAGUCUAUUUCCUAACCAAAUAUGUUGUAUUUCACAACAUCUCAGCAUUAGUUUCCUCUUUAGAGGAGAUGAAUAACUGCAAGCUUGGGCAAGUUAGGAAGGAAAAGUAAAGUUAAUCCUGUUUAUUUAAGGAAGAUCACAAAGGCAAGGUCUGUCCUUUUCUUUAUGCCCUGAACAUGAAGAGAGACUGGCACAGUUCAAGGCUAAGCAGAAUUUUGUCUUCAUUUUAGCUUGUUGAAAACAGGCAUUAAUUAAACUUUGAAGGUCAUUCCAUCAGUGUUUACCAUGAAAAUGUUAGACUGGAUAGGAAAUCCUUAAAUUUAACACCCAUGAAGUCUAAUUCCAUGUUCAAGACCAUUCUCUGUUAUCAAAUAGAUAUCAAAACAAGGUGUGUAAAGAACAGAGAAGCUGCAGUUUUCUAAAGGGCAAAAGCUGCAAAGAUUUUUUUCCCUCAUUUGUAACUGCAUUCUGUCUUCUAGUUCAAAACAGCUACAAUAUACUAGAAAACAGCACCAUCAAAAGUGAAACUUCAAAGCUGUGCAAUGCUUCAUUGGUUUUUAAAACUGAAACAAUGAAAAAUUCUUCUGUUAUUCUGAUCGCCAUCCUUCUCACAAAAAAAUGUCACUCUCAGAUUUGAAACAAGCUCUCCACACUCCUUCAAGCAUUUCUUCACUGCAUCUCUAGCUUUAAAUGAAUGCGUACAGGCCUUGACCAAUUUGAAUUAGAUCAGAAGAAAGAAGUAGUGUGAUUGCUUUAACCACUUUAGCUGUGAGCAUUGCUUUGCAAACCCUUUAACCAUGCUCUUGAAAAGGCUUUCUACUUAUGCUGAAGCUUCAUACUGCUGUAACAUCCUACUGGCUAUUUCCAAGUUGAGCUCCAUGAUCAGUCAGUCUCAGCACUGAUUGCAAAAGAAAUGUACCCCCACAGCUGGCACGCUUCUAAGGGAGUUUAUUUCCAUCACCAUAAACCAGCCCUGCAGUUUGGAGCAGGAAAUUUCUGAACCAGUUGUUGCACAGUACUAGUUUCCAAAGAUUUGUUAUCAGCAGUGUGAGAGCAGCAGCUUGAGCAAAUUUAGUAGCAGAUUAGAAAUUACUUCCUGCUUGUGAAAGAACAAUAUACCAAGAAUGAGUAUGAAGCCCCAUACUUUUGUGCAUUCUGGCUCCAAACUGUGAGGAACAACCCAGCCAUGUCAGGGAGGGAAGUGACUGCUCUAAGUGAUUUCUCAUUAUCUCUGCUUUUAAAAAACUGUCAUGUGUAUUAGAAACCUUCUGAUACACUGGGUUUAACAUAACGCUGUAUGUGAACAGGUGGGGUUAGUACAGGCACACCUUGUUUUUGAAUGAUAUGCUGGGGGUGCCUUUGGAUGGGGGAUUGUGUGAGGGGAAAGAUUGGUGGCACACAUCGUUAACCAGGAGACGAUGCCAGCACUGUUACUUUCCGUCUCUUCCUCCACUGUGAAUGCAUGAUCAUCACAUAUUGACAGCGCUGUGCUCUUCUGACUACUUCAGUGUGAGUGUGACUGCAGAAUUAGAAAGAAGAUGCAGUCUCGUAUUGGACAUACCAGCACACUGAUGAGGCAGGAAGGAAAAAGGAGUAGCCUACAGGGAAGAAUAAAAUUCCUUGUGACGCCA
Phasianus colchicus (ring-necked pheasant) is the source of this 2263-nucleotide long non-coding RNA. The record is from Ensembl. Lineage: Eukaryota; Metazoa; Chordata; Aves; Galliformes; Phasianidae.